GAUGAACGCUGGCGGCGUGCCUAAUACAUGCAAGUCGAGCGAACGGACGAGAAGCUUGCUUCUCUGAUGUUAGCGGCGGACGGGUGAGUAACACGUGGAUAACCUACCUAUAAGACUGGGAUAACUUCGGGAAACCGGAGCUAAUACCGGAUAAUAUUUUGAACCGCAUGGUUCAAAAGUGAAAGACGGUCUUGCUGUCACUUAUAGAUGGAUCCGCGCUGCAUUAGCUAGUUGGUAAGGUAACGGCUUACCAAGGCAACGAUGCAUAGCCGACCUGAGAGGGUGAUCGGCAACACUGGAACUGGACCACGGUCCAGACUCCUACGGGAGGCAGCAGGAGGGAAUCUUCAGCAAUGGGCGAAAGCCUGACGGAGCAACGCCGCGGGGGUGAUGAAGGUCUUCGGUUCGUAAAACUUUGUUAUUAGGGAAGAACAUAUGUGUAAGUAACUGUGCACAUCUUGACGGUACCAAAGCAGAAAGCCACGGCUAACUACGU
RNAcentral lists this ribosomal RNA (496 nucleotides) under uncultured bacterium. RNAcentral describes it as "partial 16S ribosomal RNA". It matches the Rfam family "Bacterial small subunit ribosomal RNA", at positions 28 to 506 of the family's 1533-position model. The record is from RNAcentral.